CGAACGGGUGAGUAACACGUGAGUAACCUGCCCCAGACUCUGGGAUAACCCCGGGAAACCGGAGCUAAUACCGGAUACGACGCGAAGAGGCAUCUCUAACGCGUGGAAAGAAUUUCGGUCUGGGAUGGACUCGCGGCCUAUCAGCUAGUUGGUGAGGUAACGGCUCACCAAGGCGACGACGGGUAGCCGGCCUGAGAGGGCGAUCGGCCACACUGGGACUGAGACACGGCCCAG
RNAcentral lists this ribosomal RNA (234 nucleotides) under uncultured bacterium. RNAcentral describes it as "partial 16S ribosomal RNA". It matches the Rfam family "Bacterial small subunit ribosomal RNA", at positions 99 to 334 of the family's 1533-position model. The record is from RNAcentral.